This 85-nucleotide transfer RNA is filed under the name Felis catus (domestic cat). It matches the Rfam family "tRNA". Rfam says of the family: Transfer RNA (tRNA) molecules are approximately 80 nucleotides in length. Their secondary structure includes four short double-helical elements and three loops (D, anti-codon, and T loops). The record is from Rfam by way of RNAcentral. Lineage: Eukaryota; Metazoa; Chordata; Mammalia; Carnivora; Felidae.
GCCUGGGUGGCUCAGUCGGUAGGGCGUCCGCCUUCGGCUCAGAUCGUGGUCUCGCGGUUCGUGGGUUCGAGCCCCGCUUCGGGCU